RNAcentral lists this ribosomal RNA (253 nucleotides) under uncultured bacterium. RNAcentral's name for it is "partial 16S ribosomal RNA". It matches the Rfam family "Bacterial small subunit ribosomal RNA", at positions 524 to 776 of the family's 1533-position model. The record is from RNAcentral.
UACGUAGGGGGCAAGCGUUGUCCGGAAUCAUUGGGCGUAAAGAGCGUGUAGGCGGUCCGGUAAGUCCGCUGUGAAAGUCAGGGGCUCAACCCUCGAAUGCCGGUGGAUACUGUCGGGCUAGAGUGCGGAAGAGGCGAGUGGAAUUCCUGGUGUAGCGGUGAAAUGCGCAGAUAUCAGGAGGAACACCUAUUGCGAAGGCAGCUCGCUGGGACGUAACUGACGCUGAGACGCGAAAGCGUGGGGAGCAAACAGG